CAGACCUGGGUGACACAGAGACCCCACAGACCCCACGGGUGUCACACAGACCCCACAGGUGACACAGAGACCCCACAGACCCCACAGGUGUCACACAGAGCCCAUGGGUGUCACACAGACCCCACAGACCCAUGGGUGACACACAGACCCCACGGGUGACACACAGAGCCCACAGGUGUCACACGCACCCCACAGACCCCACAGGUGACACACAGAGCCCACAGACCCCACGGGUGUCACACAGAGCCCACAGGUGACACACAGACCCCACAGACACCGCCCUGUCACCCACGGGGGUCACAGAGAACCCACAGACCCCACGGGUGACACACAGAGACCCCACGGGUGACACACAGAGCCCACAGACCCCACGGGUGACACACAGACCCCACAGGUGACACACAGACCCCACGGGUGACACACACCCCACGGGUGACACACAGAGCCCACAGGUGACACACAGACCCCACGGGUGUCACACACACCCCACAGACCCCACGGGUGACACACAGACCCCACGGGUGACACACAGACCCCACAGACCCCACUGUGCCCAUGGGGUGUCACUGAGAGCCCACAGACACCUCCCUGUCACCCAUGGGGGUCACAGAGAACCCACGGACCCCACAGGUGUCACACAGACCCCACAGCACCCAUGGGUGACACACAGACCCCACAGCACCCACGGGUGUCACACAGACCCCACAGACACCUCCCUGUCACCCACGGGGGUCACACAGACCCCACAGCACCCAUGGGAUGAACCCACUGGAAAUCCCUCCAGGAUCAUUUCCCAUGGGACGAACCCACUGGAGAUCCAUCCCAGACCAUUUCCCAUGGGGUGAACCCACUGGAAAUCCAUCUGUGGGAUGAACCCCCUGCAGAUCCAUCCAGGAUCAUCUCCCAUGGGAUGAACCCCCUGCAGAUCCCUCCAGGAUCAUCUCCCAUGGGAUGAACCCCCUGCAGAUCCAUCCAUGGGAUGAACCCCCUGCAGAUCCCUCCAGGAUCAUCUCCCAUGGGAUGAACCCCCUGCAGAUCCAUCCAGGAUCAUCUCCCAUGGGAUGAACCCCCUGCAGAUCCAUCCAGGAUCAUCUCCCAUGGGAUGAACCCCUGCAGAUCCAUCCAGGAUCAUCUCCCAUGGGAUGAACCCCCUGCAGAUCCAUCCAGGAUCAUCUCCCAUGGGAUGAACCCCCUGCAGAUCCCUCCAGGAUCAUCUCCCAUGGGAUGAACCCCCUGCAGAUCCAUCCAUGGGAUGAACCCCCUGCAGAUCCAUCCAUGGGAUGAACCCCCUGCAGAUCCAUCCAGGAUCAUCUCCCACGGGAUUCCCCCCCCUUAAAUCUCUCUCAAGGCUCAACAUUCCCAUUUUUUCCCGGGAAUUCCCACCUG
This is a long non-coding RNA of Myiozetetes cayanensis, 1386 nucleotides long. RefSeq lists it as uncharacterized. The record is from RefSeq and is a predicted model, not a curated record. NCBI's taxonomy places the organism in Eukaryota, Metazoa, Chordata, Aves, Passeriformes, Tyrannidae. The transcript is spliced from 3 exons.